RNAcentral lists this microRNA precursor (193 nucleotides) under Oryza brachyantha (malo sina). RNAcentral's name for it is "MIR812 microRNA precursor family". It matches the Rfam family "MIR812 microRNA precursor family". The record is from Rfam by way of RNAcentral. Lineage: Eukaryota; Viridiplantae; Streptophyta; Magnoliopsida; Poales; Poaceae.
AAUAAACCAAUUUUUCACUUUUUACAUGCAAUUUUUAACUCUUUGUCUUAUUUAAAUUUUUUGUGAUUGAUAUUUUUGUUUUUGUUAUAUGAUAAAUCAUGAAUAGUACUUUACGUGCGACUAAUUUUUUUCUAAUUUUCUGAAGUUUUUUCAAAUAAGACGGAUGGUCAAACGUUGAAUACAAAAACCGAAG